UGUAAACUCCUGAACCCGGGACGAAAUCCCUGUGGAGGGGGCUGACGGUACCGGGGUAAUAGCGCCGGCCAACUCCGUGCCAGCAGCCGCGGUAAUACGGAGGGCGCGAGCGUUACCCGGAUUUACUGGGCGUAAAGGGCGUGUAGGCGGCCUGGGGCGUCCCAUGUGAAAGACCACGGCUCAACCGUGGGGGAGCGUGGGAUACGCUCAGGCUAGACGGUGGGAGAGGGUGGUGGAAUUCCCGGAGUAGCGGUGAAAUGCGCAGAUACCGGGAGGAACGCCGAUGGCGAAGGCAGCCACCUGGCCCAUUUGUGACGCUGAGGCGCGAAAGCGUGGGGAGCAAACCGGAUUAGAUACCCGGGUAGUCCACGCCCUAAACGAUGCGCGCUAGGUCUCUGGGUUUACUGGGGGCCGAAGCCAACGCGAUAAGCGCGCCGCCUGGGGAGUACG
RNAcentral lists this ribosomal RNA (450 nucleotides) under uncultured Thermaceae bacterium. RNAcentral's name for it is "bacterial SSU rRNA". It matches the Rfam family "Bacterial small subunit ribosomal RNA", at positions 424 to 884 of the family's 1533-position model. Lineage: Bacteria; Thermotogati; Deinococcota; Deinococci; Thermales; Thermaceae. The record is from RNAcentral.